CUGUUUCCUAUGAAGCUGUGCAGGUCGUAGCAGACUAUGAAACUGAGACCAGGAUAGAAAAUUUGCAAGGUGUUUAUUAGCAGAAAAAAAGAAGCUAGGGGAGGUUGCUUUCAAUUCACACAGUUACUUCUGCUUUGCUUCAGACUAUCUGCCUUCUAAAACCCAUAGUGGCAGUAAGAAGGAAAUAUUGCACAUCUCUAUCUCUGGAGUUGUCUGGCUAAUUUACUGUGUGUAAGCAUAACAACAGUUAUGUGUUGUCGUUCGCUGAUACUAUAUUCUCUUCAAAAAAGAUGUGCAGGCAAAUGAGCUCCGUUGUUUCUACUGCAAAUGCAAAUCCAGAAAUCUCCAUGGAAGGCAGUAAAGUGAUGUAAAUCAAUGUGAAUUUGAACAAAGAAUUGUUGGGAUUCCACAAAUGAUCAUAUUGCUGUGUUUCCUAAUGGCCGUGAUACAGCCCCUGAUUUCACAGAGCAUGCCCAGAUUAAAGACCCAGGGUAACUGUGUGUGCUCCAAAAUGUCUGUAAAGCUGGUGGGUAGGAAAAGCCUGUGAGCUUUGUAGCUCUGCUGGAUGCAAGAGGUAUUCUAGCACCUGGGUGAGCUGGGGUGCCAAUGGGACAGGAGUAGACAUUAAUAAAUGGGAGUUGAGAAGAGGCUUGGCUGGCAGGAACUUGUCCCUUAGCUUUUCUGUACCUUCACAACAAGAGCUAGUAGAGGAGCAAUGUAACCAAGGUCUGGUUUAGUCUAUAUGGAGAGCACAUUUGCUGAUACUGGAAAAGGGAGGUGCAAAUUGUCACAUCUUUGCCUCCUGACCAGCAGUACUGCUCCUCUCAGACAAGAAAUCUCCCAGCCACAGCACAGCUUCUGGACCUAUGUUGAUGAUAUUGGAUUCCCCAUGACUAAGGGACAUGCUGUAGCGUGGCACUCCAUAGGUCAUGUUGAUGGUUGGACUUGAUGAUUUUGAAGGUCUUUUCCAACCUAAAUUUUACUUCUGUGAUUCUAUGACAAGCUGCAAAACCUGAAAGUCGGGAGAUGUGGCUGGGCACAUGCCAGGUCCUGUACUGCAGCCCUGACGUUAAGUGAGGGGUGAUAUUUAGGGUGUAAUGUGUGUUAGACAAGCUCUGUGAUUUUGUGGAUGUACGCUGCCCACAGUAGCAAGCACUUAAUGCAUCAUUAGAUUUUGCAAUAAUUGGCUAUCACAAGCUCCUUUACAAGAGGAGAAGUGAUUUUCUUGGCAUCACAUCGUGUGUAAUUGUGCCAUUAGUCAUGUGCCAGUGCCAGUAUGUUUGACUUGUUUGUUGUAUAAUGUUUCAGGUGAAUCCUACUUAAGAUUUAUUCUUUAAUGUUCACCAUGCCAAUGUAAAACAUAUAGUUUGAGCAUACCUUUUGCCAUCAGGUUGGAAAAAAUGCACCUUGAUGCAAAAAGGGUGUCGAGAUUUGAAACUUCUCAAUGACAAAUGAUAGAGACAUCAAGUACCUUGUUCCUGUAUAUCACUGCUUUGACUAUGACGUGCUUUUUAUAAAACACUGUGGGUUUUAUUCUUGUCCCCAGAAUACCCUUGGAACUGAGGCGUACAGUCCCAGCAGCGUUAUUAUGCUGACAGAAAAGAUUUUAAUUUUUAGGCAGUUAUAAAAUAUAUGAAUGCAGGCAUAACGUCUUAAUUGCAUAAUGUAAUACCAGGAAUAGCUCACCAGUCAUGUUAAUCAGAUCAUCAUUCACUCAAAAUCCCAAUCAUUUGCAGUAUCGGUUGUCUAAAUGGAGGUCAGAAAAGACGCUGGUAGGUCAGUAAUUAGUGCUGCUAUUGAAAGCUUGUGCUCAGUGGAUGGGACAGUAAUUAGGACUUAUAUGAAACUUGAAAUAUUUUACAUGAGUGGCUGGUACAGUCUUGUUGUUUCUUUUUUUUCUCGUGUUCCUAUGAAUUCUCAUCCACUUGACUUUAAUACUUCUUGAUUGGAACAGUCCACAAACUAAAGGAAGAACUGUCUUCAAAUCGUUAGCUCUUCAGUCUUUUUCAGUUAACGCAGCUGAUGUAAAGCCAGUGUUUUCAAAUUAAUCCGAAGUCUGUACGGCACUGCAUCUGUUCCAUUCAGUUAUGUCCAUUUAAAAUAAUUAUAAUAGAAAUUCCGCCUUGCUGAGAAAGCUCCACACAGCUGGAGUCCUCCUGCUAACCUGUAUAAAACCAACAGGCAGCACAUCUUUCUUGUUAGCAAUUCUGCACAGUGCCAGUACAUUUCAAAGCACUUGGAUUGCUACAAGUAACGUCAGGAAGACUGAAAAGACGAAUAAGAAUGUUGUGGGCAUUUUUAGGAAAACUAAUAUAUUAAAUAAGCAAAGGAUAAU
Long non-coding RNA from Gallus gallus (chicken), 2335 nucleotides. The record is from Ensembl. NCBI's taxonomy places the organism in Eukaryota, Metazoa, Chordata, Aves, Galliformes, Phasianidae.